Molecule: ribosomal RNA, 406 nt
Filed under: uncultured bacterium
Lineage: Bacteria
Description: partial 16S ribosomal RNA
Rfam family: Bacterial small subunit ribosomal RNA
Source: RNAcentral
AUUGAACGCUGGCGGCAGGCCUAACACAUGCAAGUCGAACGAGUGGCGGACGGGUGAGUAAUGUCUGGGAAACUGCCUGAUGGAGGGGGAUAACUACUGGAAACGGUAGCUAAUACCGCAUAACAUCAGAUGUGCCCAGAUGGGCUUAGCUGGUGGGUGGGGUAACGGAUCAACAAGGCGACGAUCCCUAGAUGGUCUGAGAGGAUGACCAGCCACACUGGAACUUAGACACGGUCCAGACUCCGACGGGAGGCAGCAGUGGGGAAUAUUGCACAAUGGGCGCAAGCCUGAUGCAGCCAUGCCGCGUGUAUGAAGAAGGCCUUCGGGUUGUAAAGUACUUUCAGCGGGGAGGCGUUACCCUCAGAAGAAGCACCGGCUAACUCCGUGCCAGCAGCCGCGGUAAUAC